GGCAGAUGAAAAACAUGUCCAAAAGAGGCGUAAGUACACCACUACGGUACUCAGUAAGUGCCAAGCCUAACCUCGAUUGAGUAGUGACGAGGAAGAUCGAGGCCCUAAUGAGAUAAAUAUAAAAAUAAAUAUGAAAUGAAUAGGCACUAGGAGUAUAGUAAAUCUCGAGUAUCUAGAAAAAAUAAUAUGUAGAAAGGAAACAAGCUACUAGUACAAUCUACGAUUACACAAACAAUCACUACAUGCUAUUUAACAUCAGGGAUGUCCUGGUAUCCUCAUCAUAUAUACAAGGGAUCUCUAUGUAUCCCGAGGAUCUCCUAGUAUCCUCCAUUUAAUCACGAGGGAUCUCCAAGUAUCUCGAGGAUCUCCUAGUAUCCUCCAUUUAAUCACGAGGGAUCUCUAAGUAUCAAUAGAAUCUCCUAGUAUCCUCCAUUUAAUCACGAGGGAUCACCAAGUAUCUCGAGGGUCUGCUAGUAUCCUCCAUUUAAUUAACCAUGUGCCGGAGAUCUCUUAGUAUUUCACACUUCCAAUCUCAGAACACAGUACGUACUGGGGUACUUCCGGGAUGUCAUCCCGUAGAUCGAAUCGUAAAUACAUCACAGCAAUUCAAUAUUGAACAGCACAAGCUAAGAACCAAUAAUAGGUAAAAUCUAGAGUCUAGCAUGCUUCACAAAAAGGCAGAUAUUGCAAUUUAGUCAAGUAGAGCAAAUAAGUUACUAACAUACUUUCCCUAAGCUAAAACAAAUGAAAUUUCAUUCUUAGCUGUUAAAUACGUGAACAAACACAGUCUAAAUAAGUCAAGUAAGGCAAAUUUUUAAUAAUUAGCACAAGUACACGCCUGACACCUUGUGCACAAGGCAUUGAAACAAUAGUCAAGAUGGGGAGAGGUCCCCCAUACAAGGUAAGACAAGCCAAUUACCUCGAACCAGUACAAAAAUCGCUAAGAAACGAUGCCCUUGCCACAAGUAUCCGUCUCCGAGUGGCCCAAAUGUAUUCAAACCAAUUACAUAUUGUAAAUAACAUCGCAAGUAGCUAACACCACUAUUAAAAUUAAAGCUAAGGCGCGAAAAUAGCUAAAAUAACAAAAAAAUUAAAUUUACGUUCACCACCCUUUGCCAUUCAAUAUAUAAGUUAGCAGAAAAUUCUACUUCUAUCAUAAAUGGGAUGGACAAGUAGCAAUAUAGGUCAGAAAAAAAAACUUAAUUCACUUUCACGACCUUUUGCAAUCAAAAUUCUACAUGAAUCAUAAAUGGGAUGGAUGCAAGCAGCAAUAUAGGUCAGAAAAAAAAACAUAAUUCACUUUCACGACAUUUUUCCAUCAAAA
Molecule: long non-coding RNA, 1324 nt
Filed under: Nicotiana benthamiana
Lineage: Eukaryota; Viridiplantae; Streptophyta; Magnoliopsida; Solanales; Solanaceae
Description: long non-coding RNA (NBEN_LNC016866)
Source: RNAcentral